UGGGGAAUAUUGCGCAAUGGGGGAAACCCUGACGCAGCGACGCCGCGUGAGCGAAGAAGGCCUUAGGGUCGUAAAGCUCUGUUUUAAGGGACGAAUGUCGUGGGGAGUAAUAUGCUCUGCGAAUGACGGUACCUUAAGAGGAAGCCCCGGCUAACUACGUGCCAGCAGCCGCGGUGAGACGCAGGGGGCGAGCGUUGUCCGGAAUUACUGGGCGUAAAGAGCACGUAGGCGGGAACUUAAGUCAGGUGUGAAAGACCGGGGCUCAACUCCGGGGUUGCACUUGAAACUGGGUUUCAUGAGGGCAGGAGAGGAAAGCAGAAUUCCUGGUGUAGCGGUGAAAUGCGUAGAAAUCAGGAGGAAUACCAGUGGCGAAGGCGGCUUUCUGGACUGUCCCUGACGCUGAGGUGCGAAAGCGUGGGU
RNAcentral lists this ribosomal RNA (420 nucleotides) under uncultured bacterium. RNAcentral describes it as "bacterial SSU rRNA". It matches the Rfam family "Bacterial small subunit ribosomal RNA", at positions 355 to 766 of the family's 1533-position model. The record is from RNAcentral.